This 497-nucleotide ribosomal RNA is filed under the name uncultured bacterium. RNAcentral describes it as "partial 16S ribosomal RNA". It matches the Rfam family "Bacterial small subunit ribosomal RNA", at positions 28 to 507 of the family's 1533-position model. The record is from RNAcentral.
GAUGAACGCUGGCGGCGUGCCUAAUACAUGCAAGUCGAGCGAACAGAUGAGGAGCUUGCUCCUCUGACGUUAGCGGCGGACGGGUGAGUAACACGUGGAUAACCUACCUAUAAGACUGGGAUAACUUCGGGAAACCGGAGCUAAUACCGGAUAAUAUAUUGAACCGCAUGGUUCAAUAGUGAAAGACGGUUUUGCUGUCACUUAUAGAUGGAUCCGCGCCGCAUUAGCUAGUUGGUAAGGUAACGGCUUACCAAGGCAACGAUGCGUAGCCGACCUGAGAGGGUGAUCGGCGACACUGGAACUGAGACACGGUCCAGACUCCUACGGGAGGCAGCAGUAGGGAAUCUUCCGCAAUGGGCGAAAGCCUGACGGAGCAACGCCGCGUGAGUGAUGAAGGUCUUCGGAUCGUAAAACUCUGUUAUUAGGGAAGAACAAAUGUGUAAGUAACUAUGCACGUCUUGACGGUACCUAAUCAGAAAGCCACGGCUAACUACGUG